AGUGCAACAGCUUCAACAGGAGAGACUGACGGACUCCCUACAUCAGACUAUCCCAUGGCCCAAUGGCUACAGCACUCACCUGAAAGGGGAAAGCUUGCUGAGCUCCAAGAUGGAAAGGAGCGCGUGUCCACGGAAGAGUGAAACAAGCACAAUGGUGAUUCUCCCUGGGUUGUAAAGGACAGUCUUAUCAGCAAGAGCUCAAGUUCCAUCACUGUCACUUGUGAUUAUUAGAACAGAAAGCCCCAUAUCUUUGUCAGAUGGUCAUCUCCUGUGUACUUCAUCUCUGGAAUGAAAAUGAGAGAUGUUCAUUAGGAAAGUUCAUGAGAAACAGCAGAAUUGCAUCAUCCUUAAUACAACACUGACCAGAGCUUACAGGUGCAGUAUCAACAAACAUGCUAGUCUCCUGGUAAAA
Molecule: long non-coding RNA, 412 nt
Organism: Chelonia mydas (Green sea turtle)
Lineage: Eukaryota; Metazoa; Chordata; Testudines; Cheloniidae
Exons: 3
Source: RefSeq, a predicted model, not a curated record